Long non-coding RNA from Lycium ferocissimum, 482 nucleotides. RefSeq lists it as uncharacterized. The record is from RefSeq and is a predicted model, not a curated record. Lineage: Eukaryota; Viridiplantae; Streptophyta; Magnoliopsida; Solanales; Solanaceae. The transcript has 3 exons.
GGAAAAGGUAGUAAGAAAACAUAUUACAAUUGAAAUGAAUUAGGAAAGUAAAGCAAUCCCUAAUUCAACACCUCUCAUUGUUGGCUGCGGCUGCUCUUCUUCACCAUUGAUAAUGAUGAUUUCUUGUCAAUCUUGUCAUUGUUUCUUCAUCUUCAGCUGUCCACAGAGUUUGAUUAUUUGGAGAUGCUUCAAAAGACAAGGCAACGUGUGGGUUCGUGGCACCUGUUCGGCUGCCAGAUUGUUUCAGGUGGUUGAUUGUGACGUAUGCAGAAAUGCGCGGUACUGAUCUUGAAGACCUCCUCCCACUUCAUUCCGGGAUGGAGGUUGAGUCUUAGAAUAUAGUGAAAAUCGGAAUUCAUUUAGUCGCUCUUGUACUAGUCUAGACCAGGUCAUGGGAAGUUGGAUCGAGUCUGUAAUCAUUCAUUUGUUGUAAUCUCUUAACUACUUGAGUUUAUUGAAAAUAUUAUGAUGUUCCACUAUUA